RNAcentral lists this ribosomal RNA (253 nucleotides) under uncultured bacterium. RNAcentral describes it as "partial 16S ribosomal RNA". It matches the Rfam family "Bacterial small subunit ribosomal RNA", at positions 524 to 776 of the family's 1533-position model. The record is from RNAcentral.
UACGUAGGGGGCAAGCGUUGUCCGGAAUCAUUGGGCGUAAAGAGCGUGUAGGUGGCUCGGUAAGUCCGCUGUGAAAGUCCAGGGCUCAACCCUGGAAAGCCGGUGGAAACUGUCGAGCUCGAGUCCGGAAGAGGCGAGUGGAAUUCCUGGUGUAGCGGUGAAAUGCGCAGAUAUCGGGAAGAACACCCGUGGCGAAGGCGGCUCUCUGGGACGGUACUGACGCUGAGACGCGAAAGCGUGGGGAGCGAACAGG